CCAGACUCCUACGGGAGGCAGCCGUGGGGGCUCUUGGACAAUGGGGGACCCCCUGAUCCAGCGACGCCGCGUGCGUGACGAAGUAUUUCGGUAUGUAAAGCUCUGUCAGCAGGGAAGACAGAAAUGACGGUACCUGACCAAGAAGCCCCGGCUAACUACGUGCCAGCAGCCGCGGUAAUACGUAGGGGGCAAGCGUUGUCCGGAAUUACUGGGGGGAACGGGAGCGCAGGCGGGAAGCCAAGUCAGCUGUGAAAACUACGGGCUGAACGGGGAGACGGCAGGGGAAACGGGUGGGCGUGAGGGAAGGAGAGGUGGGCGGAAUGCCGAGGGGAGCGGUGAAAGGCGGAGAGAGUCGGAGGAACACCGGGGGCGAAGGCGGCCAACGGGGCGGGAACUGACGCGGAGGCGCGAAAGGGGGGGGAGCAAACAGGAGGAGAGACCCGGGUAA
RNAcentral lists this ribosomal RNA (448 nucleotides) under uncultured bacterium. RNAcentral describes it as "partial 16S ribosomal RNA". It matches the Rfam family "Bacterial small subunit ribosomal RNA", at positions 331 to 793 of the family's 1533-position model. The record is from RNAcentral.